Molecule: transfer RNA, 132 nt
Filed under: Candidatus Bathyarchaeota archaeon
Lineage: Archaea; Thermoproteati; Candidatus Bathyarchaeota
Also listed under: 1 other name
Description: tRNA-OTHER
Rfam family: tRNA
About the family: Transfer RNA (tRNA) molecules are approximately 80 nucleotides in length. Their secondary structure includes four short double-helical elements and three loops (D, anti-codon, and T loops).
Source: RNAcentral
GCGGGGGUAGCAGAGCUAGGUCAAUCCUUAAGGACCAAAUGCGCGGAGCGUUCGAGCUGUUCUCGUACGCGCGUAAGACUCAAGAUCCCGUCCCGAAGGGGUACGUGGGUUCAAAUCCCACCCCCCGCACCA